This 479-nucleotide ribosomal RNA is filed under the name Porphyromonas cangingivalis. RNAcentral's name for it is "bacterial SSU rRNA". It matches the Rfam family "Bacterial small subunit ribosomal RNA", at positions 9 to 486 of the family's 1533-position model. Lineage: Bacteria; Pseudomonadati; Bacteroidota; Bacteroidia; Bacteroidales; Porphyromonadaceae. The record is from RNAcentral.
GAGUUUGAUCAUGGCUCAGGAUGAACGCUAGCGAUAGGCUUAACACAUGCAAGUCGAGGGGCAUCACGGGAUUAGCUUGCUAAUCUUGGUGGCGACCGGCGUAAGGGUGCGUAACGCGUAUGCAACUUGCCUGUCAGUGGGGAAUAACCCGGAGAAAUCCGGACUAAUACCGCAUACACUUUGGUUUCCGCAUGGGGACUUUAGGAAAGAUUUAUUGCUGACAGAUAGGCAUGCGUUCCAUUAGAUAGUUGGUGAGGUAACGGCUCACCAAGUCAACGAUGGAUAGGGGAGCUGAGAGGCUUAUCCCCCACACUGGAACUGAGACACGGUCCAGACUCCUACGGGAGGCAGCAGUGAGGAAUAUUGGUCAAUGGGCGAGAGCCUGAACCAGCCAAGUCGCGUGAAGGAAGACGGUCCUAUGGAUUGUAAACUUCUUUAGUAGGUGAGUACAAGCAGUUACGUGUAGCGUAGCAUACUAG